RNAcentral lists this ribosomal RNA (465 nucleotides) under uncultured bacterium. RNAcentral's name for it is "bacterial SSU rRNA". It matches the Rfam family "Bacterial small subunit ribosomal RNA", at positions 338 to 795 of the family's 1533-position model. The record is from RNAcentral.
CCUACGGGUCGCACCAGUGGGGAAUAUUGCACAAUGGGCGCAAGCCUGAUGCAGCCAUGCCGCGUGUAUGAAGAAGGCCUUCGGGUUGUAAAGUACUUUCAGCGGGGAGGAAGGCGAUGCGGUUAAUAACCGCGUCGAUUGACGUUACCCGCAGAAGAAGCACCGGCUAACUCCGUGCCAGCAGCCGCGGUAAUACGGAGGGUGCAAGCGUUAAUCGGAAUUACUGGGCGUAAAGCGCACGCAGGCGGUCUGUCAAGUCGGAUGUGAAAUCCCCGGGCUCAACCUGGGAACUGCAUCCGAAACUGGCAGGCUAGAGUCUUGUAGAGGGGGGUAGAAUUCCAGGUGUAGCGGUGAAAUGCGCAGAGAUCUGGAGGAAUACCGGUGGCGAAGGCGGCCCCCUGGACAAAGACUGACGCUCAGGUGCGAAAGCGUGGGGAGCAAACAGGAUUAGAUACCCUCGUAGUC